Molecule: ribosomal RNA, 240 nt
Filed under: uncultured bacterium
Lineage: Bacteria
Description: partial 16S ribosomal RNA
Rfam family: Bacterial small subunit ribosomal RNA
Source: RNAcentral
UACGGAGGGGGCUAGCGUUGUUCGGAAUUACUGGGCGUAAAGCGCGCGUAGGCGGACCUGCAAGUCGGGGGCUCAACCCUCGGAUGCCGAGCGAUACUGUCGGGCUAGAGUCCGGAAGAGGCGAGUGGAAUUCCAGGUGUAGCGGUGAAAUGCGUAGAUAUCUGGAGGAACACCGGUGGCGAAGGCGGCAUCCUGGACCGGUAUUGACGCUGAGGCGCGAAAGCUAGGGGAGCAAACGGG